This 505-nucleotide ribosomal RNA is filed under the name uncultured bacterium. RNAcentral's name for it is "partial 16S ribosomal RNA". It matches the Rfam family "Bacterial small subunit ribosomal RNA", at positions 28 to 507 of the family's 1533-position model. The record is from RNAcentral.
GACGAACGCUGGCGGCGUGCCUAGUACAUGCAAGUAGAACGCACAGUUUAUACCGUAGCUUGCUACACCAUAGACUGUGAGUUGCGAACGGGUGAGUAACGCGUAGGUAACCUGCCUGGUAGCGGGGGAUAACUAUUGGAAACGAUAGCUAAUACCGCAUAAUAUUGAUUAUUGCAUGAUAAUUGAUUGAAAGAUGCUAUUGCAUCACUACCAGAUGGACCUGCGUUGUAUUAGCUAGUAGGUGAGGUAACGGCUCACCUAGGCGACGAUACAUAGCCGACCUGAGAGGGUGAUCGGCCACACUGGGACUGAGACACGGCCCAGACUCCUACGGGAGGCAGCAGUAGGGAAUCUUCGGCAAUGGACGAAAGUCUGACCGAGCAACGCCGCGUGAGUGAAGAAGGUUUUCGGAUCGUAAAGCUCUGUUGUAAGAGAAGAACGGGUGUGAGAGUGGAAAGUUCACACUGUGACGGUAUCUUACCAGAAAGGGACGGCUAACUACGUG